Molecule: ribosomal RNA, 216 nt
Filed under: Glomeromycotina sp.
Lineage: Eukaryota; Fungi; Glomeromycota
Description: partial small subunit ribosomal RNA
Rfam family: Eukaryotic small subunit ribosomal RNA (bases 40-216)
Source: RNAcentral
GGGUCAGUAGGUUGGUCGUGCCACCGGUACGUACUGGUCUCACUGAUUCCUCCUUCCUGAAGAACCGUAAUGCCAUUAAUUUGGUGUUGCGGGGAAACAGGACUGUUACUCUGAAAAAAUUUGAGUGUUUAAAGCAAGCUAACGCUUGAAUACAUUAGCAUGGAAUAAUGAAAUAGGACGAUCGAUCCUAUUUUGUUGGUUUCUAGGAUUGACGUA